Molecule: ribosomal RNA, 497 nt
Filed under: uncultured bacterium
Lineage: Bacteria
Description: partial 16S ribosomal RNA
Rfam family: Bacterial small subunit ribosomal RNA
Source: RNAcentral
GAUGAACGCUGGCGGCGUGCCUAAUACAUGCAAGUCGAGCGAACAGACGAGGAGCUUGCUCCUCUGACGUUAGCGGCGGACGGGUGAGUAACACGUGGAUAACCUACCUAUAAGACUGGGAUAACUUCGGGAAACCGGAGCUAAUACCGGAUAAUAUAUUGAACCGCAUGGUUCAAUAGUGAAAGACGGUUUUGCUGUCACUUAUAGAUGGAUCCGCGCCGCAUUAGCUAGUUGGUAAGGUAACGGCUUACCAAGGCAACGAUGCGUAGCCGACCUGAGAGGGUGAUCGGCCACACUGGAACUGAGACACGGUCCAGACUCCUACGGGAGGCAGCAGUAGGGAAUCUUCCGCAAUGGGCGAAAGCCUGACGGAGCAACGCCGCGUGAGUGAUGAAGGUCUUCGGAUCGUGAAACUCUGUUAUUAGGGAAGAACAAAUGUGUAAGUAACUAUGCACGUCUUGACGGUACCUAAUCAGAAGGCCACGGCUAACUACGUG